This is a long non-coding RNA of Hippocampus zosterae (dwarf seahorse), 357 nucleotides long. RefSeq lists it as uncharacterized. NCBI's taxonomy places the organism in Eukaryota, Metazoa, Chordata, Actinopteri, Syngnathiformes, Syngnathidae. The record is from RefSeq and is a predicted model, not a curated record. The transcript has 2 exons.
CUUGACUGCACGAACGGCGAGCGACGAAAUUCUAUUAAAACUCAUUCACUCCCAAAGACGUUUUUUAACGUCUUUUCAGACGUGGUCUCGAAUUGGCUGGUACUGAAUGAGUUAACAGUGCAACCUGUGUCAAGAGACAUUUAAAAAAAUGACCAACAGAGGGAGACAGAACAGAGAAACCUAACAAGUCGAGCGGGAAAAAAAAAAAAAAAAACGUCCACCCUUGUCGAGAGCUGAGAAGACAAGACGCUCCGUGACAGACGACGAGCGCUAAUGCCGGCCGUGCCAGUUGACAGAGACAGAAAAAACACAAAGUUCUUGUGUUUACAUUCCACACGCUUGACGAUUUUUUCUCUC